RNAcentral lists this ribosomal RNA (519 nucleotides) under uncultured bacterium. RNAcentral describes it as "partial 16S ribosomal RNA". It matches the Rfam family "Bacterial small subunit ribosomal RNA", at positions 28 to 507 of the family's 1533-position model. The record is from RNAcentral.
GACGAACGCUGGCGGCGUGCCUAAUACAUGCAAGUCGAGCGAGCUUGCCUAGAUGAAUUUGGUGCUUGCACCAGAUGAAACUAGAUACAAGCGAGCGGCGGACGGGUGAGUAACACGUGGGUAACCUGCCCAAGAGACUGGGAUAACACCUGGAAACAGAUGCUAAUACCGGAUAACAACACUAAACGCAUGUCUAGAGUUUAAAAGAUGGUUCUGCUAUCACUCUUGGAUGGACCUGCGGUGCAUUAGCUAGUUGGUAAGGCAACGGCUUACCAAGGCAAUGAUGCAUAGCCGAGUUGAGAGACUGAUCGGCCACAUUGGGACUGAGACACGGCCCAAACUCCUACGGGAGGCAGCAGUAGGGAAUCUUCCACAAUGGACGCAAGUCUGAUGGAGCAACGCCGCGUGAGUGAAGAAGGGUUUCGGCUCGUAAAGCUCUGUUGGUAGUGAAGAAAGAUAGAGGUAGUAACUGGCCUUUAUUUGACGGUAAUUACUUAGAAAGUCACGGCUAACUACGUG